RNAcentral lists this non-coding RNA (95 nucleotides) under Candidatus Gallispira edinburgensis. RNAcentral's name for it is "SAM riboswitch (S box leader)". It matches the Rfam family "SAM riboswitch aptamer (S box leader)". Rfam says of the family: The SAM riboswitch is found upstream of a number of genes which code for proteins involved in methionine or cysteine biosynthesis in Gram-positive bacteria. The SAM riboswitch acts at the level of transcription termination control. The predicted structure consists of a complex stem-loop region followed by a single stem loop terminator region. The record is from RNAcentral. Lineage: Bacteria; Bacillati; Bacillota; Clostridia.
CUUAUCAAGAGAGGCGGAGGGACAGGCCCUGUGAAGCCCGGCAACCGGCAUAUGCACGGUGCCAAUUCCUGCGGUGUUUAUUCCGAAAGAUGAGA